GUAAGACAACAUGCAUAAAAAGGACGAUGUGGUCAAAAUACUCAUUUGCCUAAUAAUUCUGCACUCUCUAUAUAGGCAUACAAUGGGUUAAUCCAUUGCACAAUACUAUUUCCUUUUCACAGCAUUGAAACAGUGAGUUUCACUGUGGACUAUAAUGACUCCUCAGCUGCUUAGUGAUAUUAUUGAUCUGUGGAACAUUGUUACUUUUUCUGAUCCAGAAAAACUGAACACAGAAAAGCAACGCAGUGAGGCGGCGCUCUGCUCCAUUGUUUUAAAGGGGAACCCGUUUCUAAUGAGUGAAGCUAAACUAACUUCUGUCUGGAAACACUCCGUCUGAAUAAGCAGGACAUUCUUGAGAUGUUUGUGUCUCCAAAACACUCGGGGAGUUUAAAGAGGAUGUUCUAAAGGUCUAAAAUGAAGAAGACAUUUCAAGCAUUCAAAUCAAGAUAACAUGCAGCUUCAAAACAGAUAGCCCACCGGUAGUCCCCAAAAAACGGAAUUCAUCAUUCAGAAGAGACCCUGCGUCUGUGGGGAUGGGGAGCUAUCUAAACCACUCUGAAAUAGACAUGGGGAGAAGCAAGAGGUGCUUCGAGUAAAACCAGAUAGCUAUAUUCUCUUCCAGACAUAUCCCACCAUGAUCUCAUCAUCAGUCCUGAAACUACACAAUAAACACAGAAGCAGCA
Oryzias melastigma (Indian medaka) is the source of this 683-nucleotide long non-coding RNA. RefSeq lists it as uncharacterized. The transcript is spliced from 2 exons. The record is from RefSeq and is a predicted model, not a curated record. Lineage: Eukaryota; Metazoa; Chordata; Actinopteri; Beloniformes; Adrianichthyidae.